GACGAACGCUGGCGGCGUGCCUAAUACAUGCAAGUCGAGCGCAGGAAACUGGCGGAACUCUUCGGAGGGAAGGCAGUGGAGUGAGCGGCGGACGGGUGAGUAACACGUAAGGAACCUGCCUCAAGGAUUGGGAUAACUCCGAGAAAUCGGAGCUAAUACCGGAUAGUUCAACGGACCGCAUGGUCCGCUGAUGAAAGGCGCUCCGGCGUCACCUUGAGAUGGCCUUGCGGUGCAUUAGCUAGUUGGUGGGGUAACGGCCCACCAAGGCGACGAUGCAUAGCCGACCUGAGAGGGUGAUCGGCCACACUGGGACUGAGACACGGCCCAGACUCCUACGGGAGGCAGCAGUAGGGAAUCUUCCACAAUGGACGAAAGUCUGAUGGAGCAACGCCGCGUGAGUGAUGAAGGUUUUCGGAUCGUAAAACUCUGUUGUAAGGGAAGAACACGUACGAGAGGGAAUGCUCGUACCUUGACGGUACCUUACGGGAAAGCCACGGCUAACUACGUGCCAGCCGCCGCCGUAA
This 524-nucleotide ribosomal RNA is filed under the name uncultured bacterium. RNAcentral describes it as "partial 16S ribosomal RNA". It matches the Rfam family "Bacterial small subunit ribosomal RNA", at positions 28 to 523 of the family's 1533-position model. The record is from RNAcentral.